This is a long non-coding RNA of Monodelphis domestica (gray short-tailed opossum), 1026 nucleotides long. Lineage: Eukaryota; Metazoa; Chordata; Mammalia; Didelphimorphia; Didelphidae. The record is from Ensembl.
GUCUGGCUACUUCAGCAACUCUCAGCUUCCUUUCCCAACACAACUCCCGUGUGGUUUCUGGGCUGUGAUGUGUGCUCUGGAUCAUCAUGAACUAAUUUUGGGGCUGUUAAAUCCAAAAGCCACAGGGCUGCUGAGAAACAGAGAGCACUUUCAUCCAGUAGGACCCCAGAGUUUACAUAAAACGUCAAUAAUGGGAGAGGACUCUACUUGAAAGAAGAGAAGACCUGCUUUCUCCUGGAGCCUCAGAUGAGUAAACACUUUAAAAGUAUCCAUUCAAGGAGAAGCAAAGGACAACUUUUCAUCAGACUGCAAGGUUUUUCGACAGUAAGAUGAAAUGAAUGUGUUUUUGUAAAUCUCAUAGUAGCUCUAUAUUCUAGGUCAGGGAAUCAGUCUACAGAAUCUAAGCUCUAAGUCUGAUCUCAAAGGGAAGAUUUUAUCAGAGAAAUGUAUUCUGAGAGUUUUGUAAUGCCAGAAGAGAAGGAAAAAUCUUUACACCAGAGCAGAUUAAAAAAAAGACAUAUAGAAACCUGUAAAUCUCGAUUGACGUUUGUUUUUGCCAAAAGGUGACAUUUUAGAGUUUAAUAGAAUGUUCAUUUUUAAUUGCUUCUAAGAUAAAGGGUUGAAAUUUUUCUUUGGGUAGCUUAUGAAUAUUUUAUAAAGAAACUCUGACACUGUGGUAGAAAGCUAUGUGAAAUCUCUUACAGAAUUAAAUCACUUUCAUUUUACUUUCUGGCCUUUGUCAGAAAACCCUUGUAAUACCAUCAACCACAAAGCUGAAUCAUUGAGUAAAUGGAGUGAGCCAUCUUUUGGGAGAGACUGAAUGUUGAAAGAAAAAGUGUGUGUGUGUGUGUGUGUGUGUGUGUGUGUGUGUGUGUGUGUGUGUGUGUGUGUGUGUGCAUUAUAGAAAAAGCCCUGGACUUGGAAGCCAAGAGAUCUACUUUUGAAUUCAAGUUCAACCUUUAAAGCUUUGGGACCUUAAAUGUCAUCAUGAAUCAACCAUGUCCCUUUAGACUGAAUGAAUACCCA